AUAAAACUUGGAAGCUGUGAAGAAUUCUUUUAUGUGGGCACUUUAGGAAUUUGGAGCUAGUUGUGCAACCGGCCAAUUUAAAC
This 83-nucleotide non-coding RNA is filed under the name Clostridium sp. RNAcentral's name for it is "c-di-GMP-II sequence". It matches the Rfam family "Cyclic di-GMP-II riboswitch aptamer". RNAcentral also lists the same sequence under 1 other name. Lineage: Bacteria; Bacillati; Bacillota; Clostridia; Eubacteriales; Clostridiaceae. The record is from RNAcentral.